UUUUUUUUUUUUUUUUUAGCAUUGUUUUCUAAAGGUGCAAAUCCCAGUAUUAGCUGUAUCCCAGAAACAAACAAAAACGGGGCCACAUACUGAGAAAAGCGCACAUAUGGAGGCCAAGAGAGGGCGUAUAUCCAGUGAGAGGGUUUCCUGACUCUCAUCUACCUUGAGCCUGCAGAAUCCACGGGAACCCCUUUCUGAACUGCUUCCUAAAUGCAGUUGGCUCUCUGCUCGGAGAACAUCAUUUCAGAAUCUGUUGCAGAGUCUGGAGUGGCACCCUGGAGCAUGUAUUUUCACAGUCCCCGACUCCCCGGGUGAUUCUGGUGCCGUGAGCCAUGGGAAGCUGUGGAAGGUGGUGAAAUGAUUGAGUUCGUGUCCUUAAAGGUAACCCUAACAGCGGCACGGUGACUCGAUUGGAUGGCGCUGGACUGGAGACUCCCGGACUGUGCUAGGCAAGAACUGAUGAAGGCCUAAACUAAGAGAGUGGCCAUGGAGAGAGGAUGAGGUGGGAGAAAGGAAUGAUUUACAGAGUAUUUAGGAGGUAGACUUGAUGUAAUGUGGUAAUUGGUUCAAUACGCAGAGCAAGGGACAGGAAGGAGUUAAGUUCUAGCUUGGGAGAUUCGGGUAAUAGUUAUGCAAUCCUAGAAGUUGUAAUAAUAAUGAUAUUAAGCAUGGGCUGUGUGUGAGGCAUUAGGAACUCUAAGUAUUAGCUGUAUAAUCCUCAUAAAGCCUUACAAGGUGGAAAUAGUUACGCCCUUUUACAGAAGAGAAACUAUUCAGGGAGGGGUUAAGUCUCUUAAAAUGGGAUACACUAGUCUCUUCACUGUAGAAUGACACCAUUGUUCUGUAGCUAAAAAUGUCUAUUUUGAUAUCAGCUAGUUUUCCCAAAGGCUGAUCACCCCUGAGUGAGAUGACCAGGUGCUAGAGCGUGUAGCAAACUUUGGUGGGGUCUUAACCAACACAGCACAAUCUCGAGAGCCGCACACUGCCAUGUCGGCCCUAGGGGGCUCUGUGGUGAUGCAGUACCAGUUUAUGUAUGUAUCUGCAGGGGACAUUCUAUGACCUCAGUUAUCUGAACUGUAGCCAAGAGCAAGAACAGAAGCAAACAAUAAACCCUGGAAUAGCAGGAGGGAUGCAAAUAUCACAUUCAGAUCUAAUGUGCUCUGCUCAGAGGGAAAAUUAAUUUGCAGACAUAUUAAUCUAUUGCUCUUGACUAAUUCCUCUGAAACCCGAUGGCUUACAAUGAUGAACACUAUCUCACAGUUUCUGUGGCUCCUGUGGUUCAGGAGAGCAUCUUAGCCGGGUGGUUCUGACUCCGUGUCUCCCAUGAGAUUGUGAUCAGCCUAUCAGCCGGGCCUUGGCUGGGCCUGAAAGAUCCGUUUUCACAACGGCCGACUCCUAUGGCUGUUGGCUGGGGGCCUCAGUUCAUCUCUACACUGGUGUCGCCAUAGGGCAUUUGAAUGUCUUUGAGAUUGGGCAGUUGACUUUCUCCAGAGAGAGUGGCCCAAGAAAGAGGGAGAGAGAAGCCAUGAUGCCUCUUAGGACUUAGCCUGAGAAGUCACCUGCCAUUUCCACAGUAUCCUAUUUUUCCACUAGUCUUCUCUCUUCAACCUGGACGGUCACUACACUAAAACACCAGGACGUGGGGAAUCAUUGGGGGUCCUCUUGGAGGCUGUAGUCACAGCGGAUUAAAAAAAAAUGAAAAAAGGGGAUCCCUGGGUGGCGCAGCGGUUUAGCGCCUGCCUUUGGCCCAGGGCGCGAUCCUGGAGACCCGGGAUCGAAUCCCACAUCGGGCUCCCGGUGCAUGGAGCCUGCUUCUCCCCCUGCCUAUGUCUCUGCCUCUCUCUCUAUCUCUGUGUGACUAUCGUAAAUAAAUAAAAAUUAAAAAAAUAAAAUAAAAUAAACAAUUUUAAAAAAAUGAAAAAAAAAUGAAGCCCUCUAAGCAUUAGAAUAAAACAGGUAAAGUCCUCUAUAAUCUUUGACUCAAACUUUAUAAGCAAUAAGGGAAGAGACUGGUCAACCUGUCCAUACUGCUGUUCUUUCCAUACUUAUAACUUUAUCACAACAAAAACGGCAUAAGAAAGUCUAAGAUGUAAUAAACUGGAAAAGUGAUCUGCAAUGACUGUCAGAAAGGGUUAAGCCUCCAGAUGUAUAGAAAAAUGGGCAAGGAAAGAGUUUGGAGUGAUUAUUUCAGGUCACGGCUGAUGUGUCUGUUUCCAGACGUGGACAUAACUCUCGGUGUGCCCUGCCCAGCCCUGUCCUGCCAGGGCCAUAGUGCCAGCUGCUCCAGCCAAACAGUAAGUGUGCGCAGUGCUCCCCUAGUAGCGCUAGCAGUUUCCAUGUGCCACUUGGUCAUGAGAGAGUGAGUCAUUUUGCUUGACACAGUUGCUUACUUCAUAGCUAAGGACAGUUGACUCUUCAUUCUUAUGUUCUACAGGUCCUGCACAGCUUUAUUUACAAUAGAAAAAGUCCUUGUUUGAUUUAUAAGAACAUGCUAAACUUAAAAAAAAAAAAAACUUUCCAAACGUCUCCUACUCUUUAUCUAUAGCCCCAGGCAAUCUUAUUUUGUUGAGUUCAGCAAGGCCAAAUUCCUUCCUGCUAUCCAUUAUUUAUCAGGUUUUUCAGUGAAAACGGAAAGAAAAGGAGAGAACGUGAUCUAUAGGGCUGGCCACAGAGAGAGAACUUGGGCGCCUUCAGCUUGGACACUGGCUGGUGGCAGGGAAGCUUGCCAAGCCUUCCCAGAAGCCGGGGAGUGUCACCCGGGGUUCAACAAAAUCCACCUGCGAUCGUCCAGUAAAAUGCUGUGCACCACAAAUCACCAUGUAAAAAUUAUUUCUCCAGAUGUUUUUUGAGAAGGAAUUUUAAAAGAUUGACAGCACUGUUUUCUCGAAAAUGUAUAGACUCCAUUUAUGGAACAUUCUGGAAAAGGCAAAACUAUAGGGAAAUAAAUGAGGUCAGUGGUUGGCAGAUCCUGGGGUGGAAGGAAAUCAUUGACUAGGAAAGCAUGUGGGGGGAGGGGGAGGGGGAUGAAAAUGUUGUCCUGCUUGUGGAGGUGGUUACAGGAUUGCACACCUUUAUCAGAACUCAACAGCACUCAGCUGAGAAGGACAAAUGUUACUGUAUUUAACUUAUACCUCAAUGCGUUCGACCUUAAAUUGCAUAGAUUCCAACUUCCAGAUAAGUUUGUACAUGACCUUUAUAUUACAUACCUUCCGUCAUUUUGACUUGAUCAAUAAUAACAGCAGUGGCAGCCAACAUUUGUUGAGCCCUGUGCCCAGAUAAAAAUCUUAUACUGAUACCCUUAAGAAAUCUUAAUCUGAUACCCUAUUAUUGCUCCCAUUGCGAAGAUAAGGACACUGAGGUCAGAGACAUUGAAGAACUUCAGUGAGAUGGGAUCUGAACUCAGGUGUCUGCACCUUAUUCCAUAACCUCAAGGCUAUCAUGUCCUGAUACUACAUUUCAGAACUUCUGAUUCUCUGGGGUAGGAUUCCAAAAGUGUUUUUGCUUUGCUUUUAGGGGAGAAGGUUCUGAAAUCAUUUCUCAUUACACUCUGAGACCCUGUUAAUAUUUAUAUUUUAAUAACAAUAAUACUUUCUAGAUGAUAAAAGCAUUCAAGAUUUUAUUGUAAAAACAAUAUAACAUGAAAUUAUUGGGAAAAAAAACCCCACCAUUUGUAAUCCCACCACCUUCAGAAGCAUCUUCAUUUCUGUAUAUAUCCUUGUAGCUCUCCAUAUGCCUGACACAUCCAUACAGGCAGGGGACACUCAACUUCGCUUUCUGGCAACAGCAUCUUAAAAAAAGACUUCAAAAUCAUCUUGCCAAUGGGAGCUGAGGUUUGGCUUUUUUACCUUUGUCAUGUGAAAACACCCAGAAUCCUCUGUGGAAUGAUAUGAAAAUAAGUAAAUGAAAAGGAGCAAUGUUUUUGUUUUUGUUUUUUGAGAAAUCUGGCCUUUCCCCGGGGACACAGGGCUGCAGCAUGUGGUCAGUUCCUGCUCCUCUGGUCAGGUCUUAAGAGCCAAAGAAAUAGUAUGAAAGAAAUAUGACUUUGAUCUGUGUUGGCCACAGCCAAAGAUCGUUCAUGUGGAGACCUACUGUUCUUCCUGUUUCCAUCCUGCAUUACAAGAUGAGUAUAAUCGUACUGUACAGAAGCACUUGGAGAUUUAAAAUCCUGGAGUAUUUCUGAACAUCUCUUUAUGGAAUGAAAUCGGUGAAGGGUAACAAUGUUGAUCAGGACAUUCACUCACCUCAGGUGGGAAUAAAGAUUAAGAAUAUAUACGUAUUUUUUUAAAAAUCACAAGAGUUGAUAGCUGAAUCAUUUGAGGGUGUCUUUUCCAACUAAGUUAUAAAUGUUGCACGUUACCUCUGAUUUUUUAAUUUAAUAAAAAAUUUCAGUUAAUCACUCAAACCGUUGACACGAAGCCUUUAAUUCCACCUUAGAUCUGAUGCCGGGUACAGAACCACCCACGCUGUGCUCCCGUUUCCUGAUGUCAGGCAGCCAACAUAGAGUUCUGAGGGCACCAGGUUACUUACAGAAUAGGACUAGGAUUUUCCCAGCCUCUGUGGAGAAAUGACAGUUUCACAUCCGUAAUUUAGGUGGCCACAUUGCUGUUUCAUCCACACUAGGCUUUCUCAGACUCAGACUUAUCAGUCUGAAUCAAAAUUCCUAAUCUAAUUUAAAUACUAUAAAUAAGAAGCGUUUACACAGACUUGCUUUUAAGUCCAUCCUCUAAUUCCGAUACGGACCCAAAUCACAGUAAGCUCGGUUCAUUCUGAGUUUUUAAGUUCCUACAGAAUUUUACCAACAGAAUAAUUCUAGAUAAUAACCACCAAACUGUAACAUUUCAUUUCAGUACCUACCCAAACCAACAAUAACAACCCCAACUCCCACCCCCACCCCCAAACAAAUGGAAUAACCCUUUCUGGUUUAACUGCAUUCUGUGAAAUGUUUUAAACUCUGGAAGGGACCUCUGAGUCAAUUGGUCAGGGCUUCCCCUCGUGUCACCACCGAGGGAACCCAGGCACAGGAAGGUCAGUGACUUGUCUGAGGUACUUGGAGAGACAGGGAGAGCCUCUGCCCAUCACAGCUGAGCUGGCCUUGAGGGCAAGGCACCCCCCAAAGGAAGACAGAGGCAAGUCCUAUCUUUUUUAUUUCUCAGGCUGACACACGGGGCUCACAUUCAGGGGUUCACCCCCUUAACAAGCAUUCAUUACAGAAGGGAGGGCUACAUCUGAAAAGCAACCCAGGAGCUAAAAAUAUAUCAAUGUGCAGGCUGAAAAGGAAAAUGCAGCAUCAUCAGGAUCCGCACCUAAGUAAACCCCAGACUACUUGUCAUUUGACAUCACACAUCUCCUUAGGAGCUUACUGUAAACCUUAAGUAAAUCUUACGGGUUAUGUUCUAAUUUUCCUUACCAAGAAUCUUUCCCUUGCAGCAUUUGAAAGCAUACGUUCUUGGAGCACACAUACAAAAAUGAAUUUACCAGGCAUUUUUUUUCUCUCCUACGAACCAGUGUUUGUUAACUACUAGCAAUAGUUCAACGUUUCCCUAAGUGCCUUGACAUUCCAAUUGCCUAUCUUCUGAAAAUCAAACAGUACUGUUUUCCCAAACGAGAAGUCAGAGAUAUUUUCUCUUUACAGUUAUUUAUCAUAGCAUUUAACCUUGGAAAUAAAGAUCUAUCCUUUAACAUACCUUUAACUUGGAAAACUAGAUGGUUUUGUUUUUUGCCACAGACUCUAACAUUGACCUCGUCGUAUACAUCCUAUGCUAAACAUUUUAAAUCUUGUUCCUAUACUUGUAUCAUGGUAUAUAAAUCAUACCAGAUGUUUUUAGAAAAUUAAUGACUUUGAUACCAAGCACCUAAAUCAAAUCGGGCUUCUAUCAGAAAGCAAUGUCUUGAAUUAUAUACAUAGAAAUGAGAGCAGAGAGAGAUAGUGACAGCGGCCUAUUGCUCAAGGAGAAAGUGACUCUGCUUGCACCACAUAGUGGGAGUUCUAGUAGGCAAUGUUAGAACUCCAAAUAAUAUCAAACGUUCUUAAUGCUUAAACCUUUCAAACACAGAGUUGUUUAGGUUAACAGGUCUGCAGGAUAAAUACAUUCAUUGUAAUUCAGCUUUUGUGCCUGAGUGUGAAACAUUUUAUUCUUAAUUUCAGCGAGCAGAGGACUCUCAGAAUUAGGUACACAACUGAUUGCACAUAUAAUUAAAUACCCAAGGAUCUGCGAAAUGGGUGGAAAGGGUGAUAAUGACAUUUGUCCCAAUUGCUCUCUAUGGAUUAUGCAACAUCUGAUGGAUUUUUUUUUCUUCAGUAGGUUCUGCUGAACAAUUUUUUUGUCGCCAUCACGAACCAAAACAACUUGAUAGGAACAGAAGAGUCACUGCAUUAGAAACAAGAAUAGGGAUGCCUGGGUGGCUCAGCGGUUGAGCAUCUGCCUUCGGCCCAGGGCAUGACCCACACUGGGUUGUCUGCAGGGAGCCUGCUUUUCCCUCUCCCUAUGUCUCUGUCCCUGUGUGUCUCUCAGGAAUAAAUAAAUAAAAUCUCUCUCUCUCUAAAAAAAAAAAAAA
Molecule: long non-coding RNA, 6555 nt
Filed under: Canis lupus familiaris (dog)
Lineage: Eukaryota; Metazoa; Chordata; Mammalia; Carnivora; Canidae
Description: lncRNA (ENSCAFG00000055960.1, ENSCAFG00845000539.1)
Source: RNAcentral